RNAcentral lists this ribosomal RNA (467 nucleotides) under uncultured bacterium. Its description in RNAcentral is "partial 16S ribosomal RNA". It matches the Rfam family "Bacterial small subunit ribosomal RNA", at positions 28 to 507 of the family's 1533-position model. The record is from RNAcentral.
GAUGAACGCUGACAGAAUGCUUAACACAUGCAAGUCAACUUGAAUUUGGGUUUUUAACUUAGGUUUGGGUGGCGGACGGGUGAGUAACGCGUAAAGAACUUGCCUCACAGCUAGGGACAACAUUUGGAAACGAAUGCUAAUACCUAAUAUUAUGAUAAUAGGGCAUCCUAUAAUUAUGAAAGCUAUAAGCGCUGUGAGAGAGCUUUGCGUCCCAUUAGCUAGUUGGAGAGGUAACGGCUCACCAAGGCGAUGAUGGAUAGCCGGCCUGAGAGGGUGAUCGGCCACAAGGGGACUGAGACACGGCCCUUACUCCUACGGGAGGCAGCAGUGGGGAAUAUUGGACAAUGGACCGAGAGUCUGAUCCAGCAAUUCUGUGUGCACGAUGAAGUUUUUCGGAAUGUAAAGUGCUUUCAGUUGGGAAGAAACAAAUGACGGUACCAACAGAAGAAGUGACGGCUAAAUACGUG